UGGUCCAUAAAUGGAACUAGAGUAAGUUGUAAGUAACAUAUAAAAGUCGAGCAAAACGUCGUUGAUUGUUUUUAGCGUUAUAAUGUCAUAAUCAACAAAAACAAAGCUAAUUAAUUUGCGAUUUUGAAUAUAAUUUGUUUUUUUUUUCAGUUAAUAUCCUAGGUUUUUUUUUGAACUUAGUUAAUACCCUAGUUGAACAAUAUAAUUUUGAGUUAAUAUAGUAUUUUAAAUAUAAUUUGUCUUUUGAAACGAGUUGUUCAUUUCGUGAGUCCACUGAUCUUUCUUUAUGCCAUAUUUACAGUACUCACCUAAUCCCCCUACUAAUACAGCUAGGAGAACCGCAACGAACAAAUUACUAACAGGCAAGAGAGUAUUCCACGAUUACAAUCGUUAUUUAAUAUUUCUAUAAUUCCUUAAGGUCUUAGUACAUAAGAUUAAUUAAGGGAUUUGGUAUGCGAUAUCGAUUUCUUUUUUUUUUUUGAACACAACACAUCAUAUAAAUUAAAAGUCUGCAGCCCAACUAAGAAUAGUUGGUGGUAGCCAAGUACAGAGCUGAUUUAGCAAGUGAAUCAGCCAAGGAGUUUGAGUUUCUUGGUAUAUAAGAAAAGACAAUACAAUCAAAGGAGAGGGAUAGGUGCUCGAUGUCCCGUGAGAUUCCGUAGAGAUCUUUCGGGUGAUUCUUCGAGUUGAUGAUAGCAACAAGUGCUUGACAAUCUGUUUUGAUACAGAUUCUUGUGAAUCCAGCUUCGAGGGCGUUGAGAAGAGCCGAUCUAAUAGCUAACGCUUCAUCGAUUUCAUAUGCGCCAAUAUAUCAUAUUUUAAUGUAUAGAACUAUGAAUAUUCCAACUUUACCACGUACAUUCUUAUUUGGAAUUUUUGUUUUGUCCUUAACUAUUGUUGUUUAUAUCUUGAGCCUAUCUUUCUUGGUAACAUGCGAUUUAGAAACAUUGUAUUAUACGGAGAAGUGUAGAGCAAAUUAGAACUUCACACAAGUACUGCUCUACAGAACUAAAUUAUAAGUAAACCGACGAGGGAAUUAAUAUAAUAAAAACUUUAAUUUAGACCAAAAAAAUAAUAAAAACUUUAACUGCUAAAGG
Molecule: long non-coding RNA, 1097 nt
Filed under: Brassica rapa (field mustard)
Lineage: Eukaryota; Viridiplantae; Streptophyta; Magnoliopsida; Brassicales; Brassicaceae
Description: long non-coding RNA (BRAP_LNC007455)
Source: RNAcentral